UACGUAGGGGGCUAGCGUUGUCCGGAUUUAUUGGGCGUAAAGAGCGUGUAGGCGGCCUGGUAGGUCUGCUGUGAAAACUCGAGGCUCAACCUCGAGAUGUCGGCGGAAACCAUCUGGCUAGAGUCCGGAAGGGGAGAGUGGAAUUCCUGGUGUAGCGGUGAAAUGCGCAGAUAUCAGGAAGAACACCUAUGGCGAAGGCAGCUCUCUGGGACGGUACUGACGCUGAGACGCGAAAGCGUGGGGAGCGAACAGG
This 253-nucleotide ribosomal RNA is filed under the name uncultured bacterium. Its description in RNAcentral is "partial 16S ribosomal RNA". It matches the Rfam family "Bacterial small subunit ribosomal RNA", at positions 524 to 776 of the family's 1533-position model. The record is from RNAcentral.